AGAGUUUGAUCCUGGCUCAGGACGAACGCUGGCGGCGUGCCUAACACAUGCAAGUCGAGCGGAGACAGUGAGUAGCUUGCUAUGAGCUGUUUUAGCGGCGGACGGGUGAGUAACGCGUGAGCAACCUUUCCCAGACAGGGGAAUAACACACCGAAAGGUGUACUAAUACCGCAUAAGACCACGGGAUCACAUGGUUCUGGGGUAAAAGAUUUAUCGGUUUGGGGUGGGCUCGCGUCCGAUUAGGUAGUUGGUGAGGUAACGGCCCACCAAGCCGACGAUCGGUAGCCGACCUGAGAGGGUGAUCGGCCACAUUGGGACUGAGACACGGCCCAAACUCCUACGGGAGGCAGCAGUGGGGAAUAUUGGGCAAUGGAGGAAACUCUGACCCAGCAACGCCGCGUGGAGGAAGAAGGUUUUCGGAUCGUAAACUCCUGUCCUUGGAGACGAGUAGAAGACGGUAUCCAAGGAGGAAGCCCCGGCUAACUACGUGCCAGCAGCCGCGGUAAUACGUAGGGGGCAAGCGUUGUCCGGAAUAAUUGGGCGUAAAGGGCGCGUAGGCGGCUCGGUAAGUCUGGAGUGAAAGUCCUGCUUUUAAGGUGGGAAUUGCUUUGGAUACUGUCGGGCUUGAGUGCAGGGGAGGUUAGUGGAAUUCCCAGUGUAGCGGUGAAAUGCGUAGAGAUUGGGAGGAACACCAGUGGCGAAGGCGACUAACUGGACUGUAACUGACGCUGAGGCGCGAAAGUGUGGGGAGCAAACAGGAUUAGAUACCCUGGUAGUCCACACUGUAAACGAUGAAUGCUAGGUGUAGGGGGUAUCGACCCCUUCUGUGCCGCAGUCAACACAAUAAGCAUUCCGCCUGGGGAGUACGGCCGCAAGGUUGAAACUCAAAGGAAUUGACGGGGGCCCGCACAAGCAGCGGAGCGUGUGGUUUAAUUCGACGCAACGCGAAGAACCUUACCAGGUCUUGACAUCCACUUAAACUUACAGAGAUGUAAGGUGUGCUUGCACAAAGUGAGACAGGUGGUGCAUGGUUGUCGUCAGCUCGUGUCGUGAGAUGUUGGGUUAAGUCCCGCAACGAGCGCAACCCUUAUCUUCAGUUACUAACGCGUAAAGGUGAGGACUCUGAAGAGACUGCCGGGGACAACUCGGAGGAAGGUGGGGACGGCGUCAAAUCAUCAUGCCCCUUAUGACCUGGGCUACACACGUACUACAAUGGCGAUCGAACAGAGAGAAGCAAGACAGCGAUGUGGAGCCAAUCCCAAAAAAUCGCCCCAGUUCAGAUUGCAGGCUGCAACUCGCCUGCAUGAAGUCGGAAUUGCUAGUAAUCGCAGAUCAGCAUGCUGCGGUGAAUACGUUCCCGGGCCUUGUACACACCGCCCGUCACACCAUGGGAGUCGGUAACACCCAAAGCCGGUCGUCUAACCUUCGGGAGGACGCCGUCUAAGGUGGGAUUGAUGACUGGGGUGAAGUCGUAACAAGGUA
This 1482-nucleotide ribosomal RNA is filed under the name metagenome. Its description in RNAcentral is "bacterial SSU rRNA". It matches the Rfam family "Bacterial small subunit ribosomal RNA". The record is from RNAcentral.